GUACAGGCUUAACACAUGCAAGUCGAGGGGCAUCGGGUAGAAAGCUUGCUUUCUUUGCCGGCGACCGGCGCACGGGUGAGUAACACGUAUCCAACCUGCCCUUUACUCGGGGAUAGCCUUUCGAAAGAAAGAUUAAUACCCGAUAGUAUAAUGAUUCCGCAUGGUUUCAUUAUUAAAGGAUUCCGGUAAAGGAUGGGGAUGCGUUCCAUUAGGUUGUUGGUGAGGUAACGGCUCACCAAGCCUUCGAUGGAUAGGGGUUCUGAGAGGAAGGUCCCCCACAUUGGAACUGAGACACGGUCCAAACUCCUACGGGAGGCAGCAGUGAGGAAUAUUGGUCAAUGGGCGCUAGCCUGAACCAGCCAAGUAGCGUGAAGGAUGAAGGCUCUAUGGGUCGUAAACUUCUUUUAUAUAAGAAUAAAGUGCAGUAUGUAUACUGUUUUGUAUGUAUUAUAUGAAUAAGGAUCGGCUAACUCCGUGCCAGCAGCCGCGGUAAUACGGAGGAUCCGAGCGUUAUCCGGAUUUAUUGGGUUUAAAGGGAGCGUAGGUGGACUGGUAAGUCAGUUGUGAAAGUUUGCGGCUCGACCGUAAAAUUGCAGUUGAUACUGUCAGUCUUGAGUACAGUAGAGGUGGGCGGAAUUCGUGGUGUAGCGGUGAAAUGCUUAGAUAUCACGAAGAACUCCGAUUGCGAAGGCAGCUCACUGGACUGCAACUGACACUGAUGCUCGAAAGUGUGGGUAUCAAACAGGAUUAGAUACCCUGGUAGUCCACACAGUAAACGAUGAAUACUCGCUGUUUGCGAUAUACAGUAAGCGGCCAAGCGAAAGCAUUAAGUAUUCCACCUGGGGAGUACGCCGGCAACGGUGAAACUCAAAGGAAUUGACGGGGGCCCGCACAAGCGGAGGAACAUGUGGUUUAAUUCGAUGAUACGCGAGGAACCUUACCCGGGCUUAAAUUGCAGUGGAAUGAUGUGGAAACAUGUCAGUGAGCAAUCACCGCUGUGAAGGUGCUGCAUGGUUGUCGUCAGCUCGUGCCGUGAGGUGUCGGCUUAAGUGCCAUAACGAGCGCAACCCUUAUCUUCAGUUACUAACAGGUCAUGCUGAGGACUCUGGAGAGACUGCCGUCGUAAGAUGUGAGGAAGGUGGGGAUGACGUCAAAUCAGCACGGCCCUUACGUCCGGGGCUACACACGUGUUACAAUGGGGGGUACAGAAGGCAGCUAGCGGGUGACCGUAUGCUAAUCCCAAAAUCCUCUCUCAGUUCGGAUCGAAGUCUGCAACCCGACUUCGUGAAGCUGGAUUCGCUAGUAAUCGCGCAUCAGCCACGGCGCGGUGAAUACGUUCCCGGGCCUUGUACACACCGCCCGUCAAGCCAUGGGAGCCGGGGGUACCUGAAGUACGUAACCGCAAGGAUCGUCCUAGGGUAAAACUGGUGACUGGGGC
This 1438-nucleotide ribosomal RNA is filed under the name uncultured organism. RNAcentral describes it as "SSU rRNA". It matches the Rfam family "Bacterial small subunit ribosomal RNA". The record is from RNAcentral.